AGAACGAACGCUGGCGGCAGGCUUAACACAUGCAAGUCGAACGCUCGUAGCAAUACGGGAGUGGCAGACGGGUGAGUAACGCGUGGGAACAUACCCUCCGGUUCGGAAUAGCUCAGGGAAACUUGGAUUAAUACCGGAUACGGCUGAGAGGCGAAAGAUUUAUCGCCGGAGGAUUGGCCCGCGUUCGAUUAGCUUGUUGGUGAGGUAACGGCUCACCAAGGCUUCGACGGGUAGCUGGUCUGAGAGGAUGUCCAGCCACACUGGGACUGAGACACGGCCCAGACUCCUACGGGAGGCAGCAGUAGGGAAUCUUGCGCAAUGGGCGAAAGCCUGACGCAGCGACGCCGCGUGCGGGAUGAAGGCCUUCGGGUUGUAAACCGCUUUCAGCAGGGACGAAUUGACGGUACCUGCAGAAGACGCCCCGGCCAACUACGUGCCAGCAGCCGC
This 447-nucleotide ribosomal RNA is filed under the name uncultured bacterium. Its description in RNAcentral is "SSU rRNA". It matches the Rfam family "Bacterial small subunit ribosomal RNA", at positions 26 to 518 of the family's 1533-position model. The record is from RNAcentral.